CUGAGUCACGGAAUAUUCUCUGUGCCAGAAUGACUCAGUUCACAGAACCUGAGCCAGAAGAUCAUGAGUUUUAGUCUCAGAUCAGAACCUGGGCACUUACCCAGUGCUGAUAGGACAAGCAAGGAUCGGGAAAGCAGGCUGCUGUGAAACUGGAUGGCCCGGGAUCGGUGGUUUUAAACAUUUGGAGCCUCUAGGCAAAGUGGAUGCAACUACUGGGUGCUCAUUAGACAGAUUUUUUUUUUUAACUUUUCCAAAUCUUAAUAGUACAGUGAGAAUAAUAAAUACAUGCCCCCCCCCCGAAAAAAACCCAACCCCACAAAAAGAAACAAAAAAAAAACCCAUACCUGGGUUUGGAUUCAGUAGUUCCGUUUAGAGUGGGGAUCUGAAAUAAUGAAGUAAGUGAAUGUUAGGUUACUAUGGCUGGGGUCAGUGUUAGCUCCAGAAGGACUUAAAGGAUAAUGGUCGGGGGCGGGGGGUGCCAAAAUGCUGAGUUUGCUUAGCAGAUGCACGGAUCACUUGUAUUGUUCAUUUAUUUGAUGAGAUGGGUGAAGAUGAUGCAUUACUAACUUUGGCACCUCCACUUUGGAAGAAGAAAGUUGUGGGACUGUGGGUAACAGUAUUUUAAUUCUUUCGUAUUUGAGUUGAAGCAAAAUAAAUAUAUUUAUUUAUACCUAGAGAGGAUGAUAUUUUUUCUCAGUCUUUCAUUGUACUUGAGAACGAAGGCAUAUAGGAUGAAGAUAAGAAUGUUAGUUGUAAAUAAAACUACAGAUGUUUUUAAUAAAUAUAAGUAAACAUAUUAAUGCAUUUGCCCUUAGAAAUUUUCUUAGAUAUUGGCAAACCAAGUGGUGGAGCUCCUUUUGUUUUCUACCAAGUCAAACCAGAGAAAGGGUUGGGGGGUGUCAGGGGAGGCAAAUGGAGAGGGAGAGAGAAUCCUAAAUCCAUCAGGGAGCUCAGCGUGGGGCUCGAUCUCACAACCCCAAGAUCAUGACCUGAGCGGAACUCAAGAGCUUAACCGACUGAGCCACCCAGGCACUCGAAGGUGACCCUGUUUUUUUAAAUAAAAAUUCCAUGGCCCUUUAAUAAUACA
This 1087-nucleotide long non-coding RNA is filed under the name Ursus maritimus (polar bear). Its description in RNAcentral is "lncRNA (ENSUMAG00000016466.1)". Lineage: Eukaryota; Metazoa; Chordata; Mammalia; Carnivora; Ursidae. The record is from RNAcentral.